AGCUCGCACGGGUCGACCGCGCGACUGGCCAGCAGGUAGUCCCGCAUCACGAUCGCGUGCCGGCCCUC
Molecule: small RNA, 68 nt
Filed under: Actinacidiphila rubida
Lineage: Bacteria; Bacillati; Actinomycetota; Actinomycetes; Kitasatosporales; Streptomycetaceae
Description: Streptomyces rubidus ASdes TB sRNA
Rfam family: ASdes TB sRNA
Source: Rfam by way of RNAcentral